This 469-nucleotide ribosomal RNA is filed under the name uncultured bacterium. Its description in RNAcentral is "partial 16S ribosomal RNA". It matches the Rfam family "Bacterial small subunit ribosomal RNA", at positions 329 to 795 of the family's 1533-position model. The record is from RNAcentral.
GGCCAGACUCCUACGGGAGGCAGCAGUGAGGAAUAUUGGUCAAUGGCCGGAAGGCUGAACCAGCCAAGCCGCGUGAAGGACGAAGGUGCCAAGCAUUGUAAACUUCUUUUGUCAAGGGACAAAAUCAGGCUUGAGAGCCUGACCGAGGGUACUUGAAGAAAAAGCAUCGGCUAACUCCGUGCCAGCAGCCGCGGUAAUACGUAGGGGGCAAGCGUUAUCCGGAUUUACUGGGUGUAAAGGGAGCGUAGACGGCAGUGCAAGUCUGAAGUGAAAGCCCCGGGCUUAACCCGGGAAUUGCUUUGGAAACUGUACGGCUGGAGUGCUGGAGAGGUAAGCGGAAUUCCUAGUGUAGCGGUGAAAUGCGUAGAUAUUAGGAGGAACACCAGUGGCGAAGGCGGCUUACUGGACUGUAACUGACACUGAGGCUCGAAAGCGUGGGGAGCAAACAGGAUUAGAUACCCCUGUACUC